AUCACGCGGAGGGAAACGCUCCCGCUCCGAGCGGGGAGGGCAGUUUCCGCCUUCUGCGUACUGUACCUACAGUAGGCGCGCCUUUCCCGGGCCAGGAUUCCCACCCUCUGCCCCACAUCCAGCGACGCGCCACAACAGGUUCCUGUUUCUUUUUCGGCCCCCCCCCCCAGGCGCGUCCACCCCGCCACAAGGACCGGGCCCUCCUCUCGCGGGGAAGUUUGAGGGCUGCGUUCAGGACAGCGCCAAAGAGUCGAAAGAAGAAUGGAUUUCAUCACUCGGUGGGUUUGGAGAGCGGCGGGUGGGCUCACAGCGCAAUCCAUGCGCCCUUUGGCAAUGUGAAACGGGCUGAGAUCAGGCUAAAACUCAUCGGGGAUCAUGAUUUAUUAACUCGAAGGCUGCCUUCGCCGUAUCAUGCCUUGCAUCCAAGUCUGUCGACUUCCGUGCACAAACCAUUAAUUAUCCAGAUUCCAGACGGUGUGGUGCAAAAUCACAAAUUGGAACCCAAAGAGUUGGAAGUCCUCUAGUCCAGCCUUUCCCAUCCUUGGGGCUCUUCUGGACCACAGCUCCCAUCAGCCCCAGGCAGCACUGGGAGUUGAGGUCCAAAAUAUAGCCAGGGGCCCAGGUUGAGAAAGGCCACUCUAAAACAACCCUAUGCUCAGUGCAUGAUCUGUAAUGCAGGAUGCAACCACAGCAUGGCUGAAAUGGCCAUCCAGCCUUUAGUUUGCUCAGAUACAUUUGCUGCAGCAAAACAAAGUCUGCCACUACCUGCUGAGGCAGUUUGGUCCACUAUGGAGCAACUCCUAUAGUCAAGAAGUUUCUCAUGUUUUUGCUAGAAUUUCUUCUGUACAAUUUCCACCCAUUGGUUCUAGAACUGCCACUAGGAACAACAGAGUAGAAGCCUGCUCUAUCUCCCUUGAAUGACAGUCCUCCAGUCUACCCUAUAUUAGUGGAUUUUAUUUCUUGCACUGUACCUAAUUUCAGGACUUUUUAUCAUGUUGGCUUUGGCCUAGUUUUACAGCCUGUCACAAUUAUUUUGAAUCUUCCAUCUUCUCAUCCAAGGCCUUCCCCUCCAGCUUGUUUCUCUAUUGGACUUCUUCCCACCCUUCACCAUUAGGUGAAGAUGCUAAACAGACAAUCACAACUAGCACAGGAAUAGAAAUUUCAUGGUGUCUAUAUGGAGCCAGAAUUAUUCAGGCAAUAUUUCCUACCCUUGCCCCUGUUCCUCUCUGGUAGCAUACCAGGCAGCAGCUCCAGCCAAAAAAUAUCUGAGGAAAGCAGGUGGAGCAGGGCAGCUGGGUCUUCCUCAGUCUGUGAUGGAAGUCUUCCCUUGUUGGCAGCUGGUAGGCAGGGGCAAAGGAAUGGGGCUGAGCAGUUGGACUUCACUGAGGGCUCUAUGGCAUGUCACCCUGGUGGUGCGGAUGUGUCAUUUGGGGUGGCCCAAUGCUUAUUUUAGGGUGCACGGUUACAGUUCCCUUACUCAUAACUGCAGACUGAGGUCAUUGUGCAUUAAACUGCUUUGCCCAAAAGCAAGCUUUUUUUGUUCCAGAACAUGACGAUGCACUUCAAAGAGGAGAGUUUCCCGAUGAUGGAGAUGUAUGAUAUAGUGUAUUAUAAUGCAUAUUGCAUAUUAUUGGGUCAAGUUAACGGUUUAGGCUAUUCAUGGAGUGCUCUGUUGAAUAAGGAACUGGGAACCAACCUCAGCAUCAUAAAAAGCAAAUAGGACUGUGAUAACUGCAAGGUCACCACCUACUUCCCAAUUGCUGAGAUAUAGAACUUGCAAAAAACCCCACCACAUUCAACCUUAUUCAGCACACUUGGUACCAGUUCACCAUUUUUGGUGUCAUGGCUUGUGUACUCAAGCCAGCUUCCAGGUUGUGGCUAUAAAAUGAUCAGCAACAUUUAGCCAGAUAUGGACUGAUUUGCUUAUUAAUGCAGCUGAUUAUAUUUAAUUGUACUGUGUGUCACUGGAGAUCGCUACUGAAAGAAUGAAAAAUUCAGACCUGGAUGCUCAGCUUUCCACUCACUCAUUGGGAAACUAACAGCAUGCCUCCAUUACUACUGAGAAGUCAGUCCUCAUUGUGUAUAGGAUUGCAGCCUAAACUUUCUAUUUGUGCCUUAGAGGAACAAGUGGCAACACAUGUAUUUUUAGCAACUUUUUAAGAGCUGUUGUUAACAACCAUAAUAUCCUGAACAAAAAUAAUAAUCCUAAAUGUUAUGAAUUAAUAAGGCCCUAGGUAAUUGGAGAUGCCCUUCAAAAUAACCACACACACACACACACAAUUUUAAGUCGAGCAUGCUUUCAGGGUAGAUUAACACAAUACUUUUGUCUUUGUCCAAAUAGUGCACCCACCAUACAAAGCUGAAUUUACAAAAUAGCAUAAUAUCUAUCUUAACACAGCACAAGUGCAAAGAGAUCAAGGAUUGUAUGAGUUUUAAGAUUCAUUAUCUAAACGAGUAGAGAUUUUUUUAUUAUUAUUAAAAAAAUGUAGCCAAAAGUGUGUUGUGAUUACCUACUGCAGCCAUGCAGUAAUAAGUGAAUGCUCAGAGCAUCAGGCCACAAUUUCCAAGUAGGUCAAGAGUAGCAGUAAGGGCAUUUCAGAUAAGAAAUUCUCUUCCCUUCCAUUAGAUUUUAUAAGAAAGGUUAACUUGUGUCAGAUACAUGACAUUGAAAGCAGCAGUCAGACAAAUGUAAGCCAUUCUGUGGCAGAUGUCAUCUUUGUUCCCAAAGAUAGAUAGAGAUAAAUGUGCUGUGGAUAAUGCAUUGCAAAACAAGAUUACGCUGAAGUUCAGCAAGUGUCACAUUUCCCCUCCACCCUACAGCUAGACUGAGUUUAUAUCGGGGGCAGCAGGAGUAAUGGUGCAGUGCCAAAUCAGUCUACUGUACAGUGUUAUUUAAUGGUCAUGUGUCUUAUUUUGAGAAGUGGAUGGAGUUUUGAACUGGUUCCAGUUCAAGCAGCUGGGCAUUUGCUAUUCCAACCUUGCUUGAUCAACAUCUAUCGCAUAGAACAUUACAGUUCUAAAUGUUAUUUCUUCAACUUUUGUUACUGAUUAAUUUCUCACAGGAGAGGUGGUGUGACUCACUGGAAGCCCAGCUCUGUGACCAGGAAGCCCUUCCUCCUACUCUCAGAUGUGUGUGUAGGGGGGAUGAUUAUAUUCAUCGUAAUGAGGGCAGGGUACUCUGCCCAUAUGUAAAGGCAAUCAUCUUAUUGUUUAGUAUUUUUUAAGGUCAUGUGUUGGUGGUAUUUUACGCUGGUUCCAAGGCACAAGCUCUGGGUCAAAUUGAGCCACAGCUGUAGAUAUUUUUCACUAGGCUGUUUUCUUUUGUUAGAGGCAAAAUGAAAACCAAACUUUGUCUUGACAUGACCCCCGAGAUGAAGCAAAUACAGUGUUCUGUAAUCUACUAGAUUAUUUUAUUAAAAUGAUCUAGGCUCCAAAGAGAUGCUUUCAACUUUCUAUGCCUAAUGAAAUGAAAUACAUCAACACAUCUUAUACUUUCUGUUUACAUUCUUAUUUUGCAUUAAUAUUUAAUCCACAAUCUAUUUUUAACUCCUAGUGUCCCAACUCCAGCUAUAUACUUGAAUGAUUUAGCUGAAUUACAGGAUAUGCUCCCUUUUAACCUAGUUUCUCUCUCCCCCACCCUCCCCCACUCCUAAAUGCCAUUUAAUGGCCCAAGCAAUAAAUGUGGCUGAACCACUUCCAAGGAUAGUACAGUAAGAUUUCUAAUGCAUAUUGACAUUAACAACCACGGCCUUGUAUUGGAGGGGGUGUGGGGUGUGGGAAGAACAUGGCAUUUGGAAACAGGUUACAAACAUAUUUUAAUGUUGUACUUUUGUUCACUGAGCUCAGCACUGAAGUUUUGGCAAAGUAUUACAUGUUUGAAAUAUGACAUUGAUCAAGCAUUUGGCAGUGGCUACAUUGACCAGGGACCCAUUGGUGCGGUUUCAGGUCUGAGUAGAAGAGCAGGCUACCUCCAGCUGAUGAUGUUCCAGAUGAUGUUUCUUUCUCAGCUCCCAUCAGCCCCAGCCAGUUAAGGAUGAUAAGUUUUGUAGUCCAACAACAUCUGGAACGAGUUAGCAACAAGUGUAGUCAAGUGAGUAAUUCAGUUCAUAGGUUUGUUUUUCUAGCCAAAGGCUAUGACAUACUUGUAUUAAGCAGUAGUAUUAAUAAAAGAAUACAGAACACAAUCCAUAAUAUAAAAAUCCAUAAUAAAAAAGACUUUGGCAAGUUCCUGAGCAUUAAAACACAGUUUCCCUUGUGCAUCUCUGACAGCUCCAAUUCUCAUAUUAUUUUGCCUUUUUAAAAUCCAAUUUGCCAACAACCAUGAUGUGAGAGAGGUUACCAGAGACACCAGAAAACUCAAAUCCAGCUAGGUUUGAGAUUAACCUCUGAUCUCCAACCAUUUUAUAGCAAUUUUUCCUUUUCCUUUUUCCUGAUCCCCACCCCUUGCAGCCAAUGCAUAGAGGGCCACUCUCUGUGUUACAAAGAUACAAAAUAAACCAAACCAUUUCUGCCAGAGUGUGGCGGUUUGCUUGGGUGAACAAACGUUUCAAAAAGAGAUCUUUUGGGUCUUCAGCACACUUUAUCAUUACACAUUUGACCUCUUCAUCCUUAGUUUCCCAUUCCAACAACAAAUUGUACAUUCUCGAUAAUAUUUUUGUACCACAUUCUAUUAUUUCCCUCUGGAAUUCUGAGAUUUCAUGAGCAAAUCCUUUCUUUUUGUCAUUUUUAAAUAAUUCAUUUACCUGGAAGUGUUGUAACCAAUUCACUACUUCACCUCUUACUUCAUUGUAUUCUCUCAAUUUUAAUUGAUUAUCUACUUCAACUAAUAAUUCUCUAUAUGUUAUCCAUUUUGUUCUCAUAUUUGGCUUCUUUACUGAGAUUGCUUCCGUUGGUGAAAUCCACCAGCAUUUGCAAUUUUAUGACAAAAGACAGAAUUAGAUACAAAUAGAUGGAGAAUUCAGUUUGGACAUGCAUGAAAUAAUAAUGAAAUAAUGGAACCAUGGAGAGGGUAGGGGGAAGUCAAGGGAUUUGAGAAAUCCCACAUUUGGAUAUUGUAUAAACAGUACGAAAAACGUUACAGUUGUUUUUUUAUUUAAAUUUUUUCUUUUCAGUGUUUAUUUUUAUAUGAUGUUUGUUUUCAUUAAAACUAAUAAAAAAUAUUUUUU
Molecule: non-coding RNA, 5165 nt
Organism: Podarcis lilfordi (Lilford's wall lizard)
Lineage: Eukaryota; Metazoa; Chordata; Lepidosauria; Squamata; Lacertidae
Source: the annotation of a GenBank genome assembly